UUGGACCUGAUAUCAAACAAGACUACCCGCU
RNAcentral lists this ribosomal RNA (31 nucleotides) under Saprolegnia sp. WD18C. Its description in RNAcentral is "partial 28S ribosomal RNA". The record is from RNAcentral. Lineage: Eukaryota; Oomycota; Saprolegniomycetes; Saprolegniales; Saprolegniaceae.